This 300-nucleotide unclassified non-coding RNA is filed under the name Chaetothyriales sp. Its description in RNAcentral is "partial contains small subunit ribosomal RNA and internal transcribed spacer 1". Lineage: Eukaryota; Fungi; Ascomycota; Eurotiomycetes; Chaetothyriales. The record is from RNAcentral.
AAGUCGUAACAAGGUUUUUCCUUCCGGUUAAAGAUUUUAACUGCUGAAGCCUCACACAACGACUCUAAACAAGAUGUGCAGUCUUGCCCUUAAGCUAAGACAAUACCGCUGAAAUGCUGUGAUCACGCAAGUGUACCAGCAGCCUAGGCAUCGUCCCUAGGCCCACAGAUCAAGUUGCGGUGGUCGACGGCGAACACGCUAGAGACUAUAAUAUGACCGAAUUCUAACCUGAACGGUUAAGAGAUAAUGUUCCGUAGGUGAACCUGCGGAAGGAUCAUUAAUGAGUUAGGGUCUUCUAGG